CGGGUGCUGGUCGAGGAGGAGGUCCGCCGCCAGUAUGCGGCGGGGGAGAGCGCCUACGCGCUCGCCCGCGAGUUCGGCGUCUCCGCCCACACGA
Molecule: transfer RNA, 94 nt
Filed under: Streptomyces cinereoruber
Lineage: Bacteria; Bacillati; Actinomycetota; Actinomycetes; Kitasatosporales; Streptomycetaceae
Description: tRNA-Ile
Source: RNAcentral